AAAUGAAUAGACGGGGGCCCGCACAAGCGGUGGAGUAUGUGGUUUAAUUCGAAGCAACGCGCAGAACCUUACCUAGGUUUGACAUCCCACGAAGAUUGCAGAGAUGUAAUCGUCCUUUCGGGGACGUGGAGACAGGUGCUGCAUGGCUGUCGUCAGCUCGUGUCGUAAGAUGUUGGGUUAAGUCCCGCAACGAGCGCAACCCUUGCCUCUAGUUGCCACCAUUAAGUUGGGCACUCUGGAGGGACUGCCGGUGUUAAACCGGAGGAAGGCGGGGAUGACGUCAAGUCCUCAUGGCCCUUACAUCUAGGGCUACACACGUACUACAAUGGCAGAGACAAACCGUUGCUAAGCCGUAAGGUGGAGCUAAUCGGAAAAACACUGCCUCAGUUCGGAUUGAAGUCUGCAACUCGACUUCAUGAAGUUGGAAUCGCUAGUAAUCGCAGAUCAGCACGCUGCGGUGAAUACGUUCCCGGGCCUUGUACACACCGCCCGU
RNAcentral lists this ribosomal RNA (493 nucleotides) under uncultured bacterium. RNAcentral describes it as "bacterial SSU rRNA". It matches the Rfam family "Bacterial small subunit ribosomal RNA", at positions 903 to 1397 of the family's 1533-position model. The record is from RNAcentral.